CCUACGGGAGGCAGCAGUGGGGAAUAUUGCACAAUGGGCGCAAGCCUGAUGCAGCCAUGCCGCGUGUGUGAAGAAGGCCUUCGGGUUGUAAAGCACUUUCAGCGGGGAGGAAGGCGUUAAGGUUAAUAACCUUGUCGAUUGACGUUACCCGCAGAAGAAGCACCGGCUAACUCCGUGCCAGCAGCCGCGGUAAUACGGAGGGUGCAAGCGUUAAUCGGAAUUACUGGGCGUAAAGCGCACGCAGGCGGUCUGUCAAGUCGGAUGUGAAAUCCCCGGGCUCAACCUGGGAACUGCAUUCGAAACUGGCAGGCCAGAGUCUUGUAGAGGGGGGUAGAAUUCCAGGUGUAGCGGUGAAAUGCGUAGAGAUCUGGAGGAAUACCGGUGGCGAAGGCGGCCCCCUGGACAAAGACUGACGCUCAGGUGCGAAAGCGUGGGGAGCAAACAGGAUUAGAUACCCGGGUAGUC
Molecule: ribosomal RNA, 465 nt
Filed under: uncultured Klebsiella sp.
Lineage: Bacteria; Pseudomonadati; Pseudomonadota; Gammaproteobacteria; Enterobacterales; Enterobacteriaceae
Description: bacterial SSU rRNA
Rfam family: Bacterial small subunit ribosomal RNA
Source: RNAcentral